GCCGGGCGCGGUGGCGCGUGCCUGUAGUCCCAGCUACUAGGGAGGCUGAGGUGGGAGGAUCGCUUGAGCCCAGGAGUUCUGGGCUGUAGUGCGCUAUGCCGAUCGGGUGUCCGCACUAAGUUCGGCAUCAAUAUGGUGACCUCCCGGGAGCGGGGGACCACCAGGUUGCCUAAGGAGGGGUGAACCGGCCCAGGUCGGAAACGGAGCAGGUCAAAACUCCCGUGCUGAUCAGUAGUGGGAUCGCGCCUGUGAAUAGCCACUGCACUCCAGCCUGGGCAACAUAGCGAGACCCUGUCUCU
Chlorocebus sabaeus (green monkey) is the source of this 299-nucleotide unclassified non-coding RNA. It matches the Rfam family "Metazoan signal recognition particle RNA". From Rfam's summary of the family: The signal recognition particle (SRP) is a universally conserved ribonucleoprotein. It is involved in the co-translational targeting of proteins to membranes. The eukaryotic SRP consists of a 300-nucleotide 7S RNA and six proteins: SRPs 72, 68, 54, 19, 14, and 9. Lineage: Eukaryota; Metazoa; Chordata; Mammalia; Primates; Cercopithecidae. The record is from Ensembl.